UAGUCCACGCCCUAAACGAUGAGUGCUAAUUCUGGGAAUUUUCUGGGAUAAAGCUAACGCGUUAAGCACUCCGCCUGGGUAGUACGAUCGCAAGAUUAAAACUCAAAGGAAUUGACGGGGGCCCGUACAAGCGGUGGAGCAUGUGGUUUAAUUCGAUGAUAACCGAAGAACCUUACCAGCUCUUGACAUGUACAUUUUGACUACACGAGAGUGGGUCUUCAUUUAGUUGGGUGUACACAGGUGUUGCAUGGCUGUCGUCAGUUCGUGUUGUGAGAUGUUGGGUUAAGUCCCUUAACGAGCGCAACCCUUGCCGUUAUUUGCCAUCGAGUUAUGUCGGGGACUAUAACGGGACUGCUAUUGAAAAAUAGAGGAAGGAAAGGAUGAUGUCAAGUCAUCAUGGCCCUUAUGGGCUGGGCUAUACACGUGCUACAAUGGAUGGUACAGUAUGUUGCGACACAGUAAUGUGAAGCUAAUCAACAAAGCCAUUCUCAGUUCGGA
RNAcentral lists this ribosomal RNA (498 nucleotides) under uncultured bacterium. RNAcentral describes it as "bacterial SSU rRNA". It matches the Rfam family "Bacterial small subunit ribosomal RNA", at positions 791 to 1297 of the family's 1533-position model. The record is from RNAcentral.